GAGGUGUGGGUAGUCCGCACGAGCGCACCCUAUCUUUAUUUGCCAGCGAGUAAUGUCGGGGACUCUAAAGAAACUGCCUACGCAAGUAGUGAGGAAGGCGGGGACGACGUCAAGUCAUCACGGCCCUUACGUCCUGGGCCACACACGUGCUACAAUGGUUGGUACAGAGGGCAGCUACCGGGUGACCGGAUGCGAAUCUCUAAAGCCAAUCUCAGUUCGGAUUGGAGUCUGCAACUCGACUCUAUGAAGCUGGAAUCGCUAGUAAUCGCGCAUCAGCCAUGGCGCGGUGAAUACGUUCCCGGGCCUUGUACACACCGCCCGUCAAGCCAUGGAAGCUGGGGGUACCUGAAGUCGGUAACCGUAAGGAGCUGCCUAGGGUAAAACUAGUAACUGGGGCUAAGUCGUAACAAGGUAGCCGUACCGGAAGGUGCGGCUGGAACACCUCCUUUUU
Molecule: ribosomal RNA, 451 nt
Filed under: uncultured Bacteroidota bacterium
Lineage: Bacteria; Pseudomonadati; Bacteroidota
Description: bacterial SSU rRNA
Rfam family: Bacterial small subunit ribosomal RNA
Source: RNAcentral